GUAUGGGAAGCUCAAUGGAACGUAUUAAGUAGGGCGGGACACGUGAAAUCCUGUCUGAAGAUCGGGGGACCACCCCCGAAGGCUAAGUACUCCUUACUGACCGAUAGCGAACCAGUACCGUGAGGGAAAGGUGAAAAGCACCCCGACGAGGGGAGUGAAACAGUACCUGAAACCGAACGCCUACAAUCAGUCGGAGCUUG
This 200-nucleotide ribosomal RNA is filed under the name Florenciella parvula. RNAcentral describes it as "partial Bacterial large subunit ribosomal RNA". It matches the Rfam family "Bacterial large subunit ribosomal RNA", at positions 375 to 583 of the family's 2925-position model. Lineage: Eukaryota; Dictyochophyceae; Florenciellales. The record is from RNAcentral.